Molecule: ribosomal RNA, 468 nt
Filed under: uncultured bacterium
Lineage: Bacteria
Description: partial 16S ribosomal RNA
Rfam family: Bacterial small subunit ribosomal RNA
Source: RNAcentral
GACGAACGCUGGCGGCGUGCUUAACACAUGCAAGUCGAACGGAAAGGCCCUGCUUUUGUGGGGUGCUCGAGUGGCGAACGGGUGAGUAACACGUGAGUAACCUGCCCUUGACUUUGGGAUAACUUCAGGAAACUGGGGCUAAUACCGGAUAGGAGCUCCUGCUGCAUGGUGGGGGUUGGAAAGUUUCGGCGGUUGGGGAUGGACUCGCGGCUUAUCAGCUUGUUGGUGGGGUAGUGGCUUACCAAGGCUUUGACGGGUAGCCGGCCUGAGAGGGUGACCGGCCACAUUGGGACUGAGGUACGGACCAGACUCCUACGGGAGGCAGCAGUGGGGAAUAUUGCGCAAUGGGCGGAAGCCUGAUGCGGCAACGCCGCGUGCGGGAUGACGGCCUUCGGGUUGUAAACCGCUUUCGCCUGUGCCGAAGCGUGAGUGACGGUAAUGGGUAAAGAAGCACCGGCUAACUACGUG